CGCGCGCUCGUGCCUACGAAAAUCGAGCGUUCCUAUUGGCGGAAUAUAUUCCGAAGUCAAAUAGAACGUGCCUAUUGGCGCAGAAUAUUGCCAAGUGACAUUGAGCGUUCCUAUUGGCGCAAUAUAUUGUGACGUCAUAUCGAGCGCUCCUAUUGGCUGGAGAGUCGUAGUUUCAACCGAGCCGAGCGGUGACAUGAAAGUCGUGCUGCGUAAAUUCGUCUCGUCGAGCGUUAUCGUGUUUUUAGUACCUUUAUUUCGACUUUAUCAACGAUUCUGCACUUCUAUCUGGUUAAUUCAAAUAAUUAUUGGCUGGACACGCGACUGAAAACACUGAAAGAAUACACAUCACAGACGCCACAAACGAUCGACAAUCGAUAAUUCGAACUGAAACAAGAUGAACGUCAUAGAUGAUUAUUAAUAAAUCGAAUCGUUGAUUUUUUAUGCCGAUUUAGCAAUGAUUGACGUAUUAUAACAAAGCAGAGUUUUUCAUAAUUUCUACUAUUUCCUGUGCUUUGGGAAGGACGCAGUGAUGCUUCAAAACUAAGCAUGUUUAUCACUCCUUCCUCUUCCUCCUGCUUCCUGAAAAGGUCCUAGUGGUGUUUCAAAAGUCAAGAAUUUUUUUCCAUGAUGGGAUUGCAUGACUCCUCCUUGAUAACGGUCUUCACGACGACUUUCCCUGGGCUACCAUAGCAUCGAUGACUACGUUCCUCGCAUCUUAUCGUGAGUCGCAUGCAUUUUUGUCCCUCCGGUCACUCAAUCAUGUCGUAGGACGAAAGGUCCGAAUCGACACGGGUGACUGGUUGUAUUACGUAGAAUUUUGUUGCGAGCAUAGUGACCGCGGGUAUUUUUUAUACCCGUGAGUAGUAACAUUCUUUUUUUAAAUUUAUUAGUUUAGGAUAGGUCUUCUUGCAUAUCGCGUUUUUGUUUCUGUUAAUUAUAUGAUAUACUGAACAAUUUUAUAUUAACAAUAUUAAUAAUACUACUAACUGAUAAAAACGAUAUUAUAUUAAUAAUUAGUUUGAAUAUUUGUGAUUGAAGAUAUACAUGUAUGUUCACUGUGAUCACUUUUAAAGUUGGAGUGUAUUAAAAAUGUAUAUCUAGAGAGAGUUGCAAUGAUUUAAUUAAAUAUUUCGUAGUGAUGAAGUCGAAUUACAUAUUUAAUAAUAACGAUAAUAAGUCAUUUUUUAUUUCACCUGGCACUAUUACGAUGGAUUUAAUUGUUUGCCAUUCAUUUUUUAAUUUGAGUAUUAAUUUAAAAUAUACAUAUAGGGGUAGUAAAGUUCAGUCCUGCCGUACAAAUAUGCAUGGAAUUUCAUGGGCAAGAAGAAAUUUCGCGACAGGCAAAUUUUGGAAUCAAAGCAGCAAGUUUUGAACAUUGUUUUUGUACUUUCGAAAAUGUGCUUUGACGAAGGAAUUGCCUGAGGUUGUUUGUAAUAAUAUCUAACUUUGAGUCAGUUAUUAAAUAAAUUUCUUAUUCAUUGUCAAUUUGUCUCUUUUGUAGUGAAAUUUCAAUAGUUCGUAGAAUCAAUUAUUUAAAUGAAUCAUUAUAUUGCAUUGAUCUUAUUUAUGCUGUUUUUUAUAAAUAAAUUCAAUAUUAGUAUUUCGGUAAAUUAUAAAAUUAAUAACCUAGACUAUACAGUGAUAGUAAUAGAGAUAAAGUUUGAAAAUGCAAAAUAAAGAAAGAUUAGUCCGUUAGAUACAAAUUAGAUGCACUAAUACGUUUUUUAGUUAGGAUUUUCAGGUUUAACCCCUUCCGUAUUCAAUGCCAGGAUCUCACUCACGUGCUCAGGUGCUACUUGGGUGAGAGAAAGGCAAUGAGUACGAUGACCAUUGAUUUUAUAAUAAUUUGUAAGCGACUGACGAUGAGUUAGCGUAUCGUGCACGACGUACUUUCCACAUAGUGUGUGUGGUUAGGCUGUGGAAUUGCGUCGUUCAGUAUUUAUUCCAUUUACUACAAAUAUAAAUAAUAAAAAAUAAAUUCAAAAAAUAUCAUUUCAAUCACAAACUGUAAAAACAAAGAUUCGUUAUCGAAUACAGGGAAUCAGAGAUACUAGGGUCAUUAAUUUUAUUGUUAAAUUAUAAUAAAUGGUACCACAUAUCGUACCAUCUACAAUUUCUUUGAAAAAUAAAUACACUCUCUGAAUUAUGAAUAUUUGCAAUUAAAAUUGAGAUUAACUUUUAUCGCAAUUUACGCAAUGGUCGCUAGCAUUCGUCAGUCGAUUUCAGGAAAAUGGUACGUACCUUAGAGUAUGCAUGCUGUGUGUUAAGCUCGGGUGUCGGAGGCGUCCCGGGACGUCCUCUCUAGUGUAGGACCUUUGCGCCCGAGCGUUUGCGUGAGAACCGUGGAGCGAGUGUGUUGGUGUGCCCGUUUUGCCAUUUUUAAAUAUAGCGCUAGGUAGGAUAGGUAGUAUACUUUCUGGUAUGUCUGUUAAUUAUAAGUAGGUAGGGCCGGGCAGGUUGGCACAGUCUCUGGUCGGGUAGGCGCGUUUUCGUGUGACCAACCUGUUUCUGGAAAUCUAAUUUGAAAAAUCGACGGUGAAACUGGCACGGGUAGAGCAUGCUCUCGUCUCUGGUUUUGCCUAUCGAUUUUUCGAAUUUCGCGGUCGCGGUCGCGAAUGGGUCGAAACGAACGUUUAUUGCUCGAGCACGCACAUGCGAGUGAGCAACGAUCACUACCGUGAAUGUUGGUCAGUCCAUAUGCACUUCAAUCAGCUUCAGCGGUUUAUAUUAUUAUUUUACCUUUAUAAGUUUUCUUUUUGUUUGCGAUUUAGAAGUCUCGAGCUUAGAUUUAAGUUUCAGCGGGCAUUGCGCCCGAAGAAAGAAGAGGCUAUAAGCCGAAGAGGCCCGGCAAACUGCCACUCAAGAGGGCAACUACUAAUGGCUCCCCAUCCUCUGGGUCAUCCAGAGUAUGGGAAGUCAUUAUUGUUACUACUUUGUCACUAUGCUCGCUUUUAGUAUUUUUAGUAGUAGUAGUAGUAGUCGUAGUAGUAGUAGUUUGCUUUUUUGGCCGAUGUAUAUAUCGGUCCAUCGUCCCAUUGGGCAAAUCGCGAUUUUUCUUAUUAGUGUUGCGAUAAAUUAAUUACGGGUUGUAUUAGAGUUGCGAAAUAAUAUCGCGGCUUUUCAUUAGUGUAGCGAGAAAAUGAUUACGGUUUGAAUUAGAGUUGCGAUAAAAUGAUAAUCGCGUUUGCUUUAGAGUUGCGAAUUACGAUAUCGCGAUUGUCUUUUGCAAUUUUUAAAAUUUAUCCUGUUUUCUUUUGUUUAAAAUUAGAUUAUGAAAAUGUUAGUUUUCAAUCAAUUUUAUAGUA
Long non-coding RNA from Bombus huntii, 3305 nucleotides. RefSeq lists it as uncharacterized. The transcript is spliced from 5 exons. The record is from RefSeq and is a predicted model, not a curated record. Lineage: Eukaryota; Metazoa; Arthropoda; Insecta; Hymenoptera; Apidae.